RNAcentral lists this ribosomal RNA (253 nucleotides) under uncultured bacterium. Its description in RNAcentral is "partial 16S ribosomal RNA". It matches the Rfam family "Bacterial small subunit ribosomal RNA", at positions 524 to 776 of the family's 1533-position model. The record is from RNAcentral.
GACAGAGGGUGCUAGCGUUGUUCGGAAUGACUGGGCGUAAAGGGCGCGUAGGCGGUUUUUCAAGUCAGAUGUGAAAGCCCCGGGCUUAACCUGGGAACUGCAUUUGAUACUGGAAGACUGGAGUACGAGAGAGGAAAGCGGAAUUCCUAGUGUAGAGGUGAAAUUCGUAGAUAUUAGGAGGAACACCAGAGGCGAAGGCGGCUUUCUGGCUCGUAACUGACGCUGAGGCGCGAAAGCGUGGGGAGCAAACAGG